CAGGCCCUGAAUGAAAGCUGAUGGCAUUCCUGUAGCCAUUGGCUUCAAACAGGAUCUGAGAAGAACAUCUUUCCACGAUCUGUUGGCUGUUUUGCAUUUUGGAAUGGAACAGCCAUUUUGUUAAGGAGAGACAUCC
Euleptes europaea (tarantolino) is the source of this 136-nucleotide small nucleolar RNA. The record is from RefSeq and is a predicted model, not a curated record. NCBI's taxonomy places the organism in Eukaryota, Metazoa, Chordata, Lepidosauria, Squamata, Sphaerodactylidae.